CAUGACUAUAGGACCGAGAGGAGACUGAGAAACACAGGAAGCACCAGAGUGGUUGAAAGGAGCUGAAGGCUCAGACAGCAACCUGGACACUAAGGGUCCAAAGCCAAGCCCAAGGUCAAGUAGCUGGACAGAGAAACAGCUGCAAGCACAGACUUGGAUCCUGACCUGAUUUUCUGCAGAAGCAAGUCCCUGUUUAGCCUUCUACUGCCUCCUUUUAGAAUGAAGCCAGACCAGUACUUUCCAUCAUGGGCUCCUGUGGAAAAUGACCCCAGCUCAGCUCAGUAGUUGAUGGGACAUCUGAUUCAGGUUGGGCCCAGCCCAGACAUCUGAUUCAAACAAUAUUCUUCUCCAGGAAUUUUGUAACCAGCACUGGUAAAGGGAGGGAACUGCUCCCCAGUGGGGAGAGCUGCAGAAUGUGAGACUUGGAAACCAAAGGCCGCCAUGUUUUCUGUCUCAUGAUGGAACCCAAUCUUCUUUGGCGGGGAAAAUAAAUCAAGCCAACACCAGUAGGUAUAAGAGAGAU
Molecule: small RNA, 523 nt
Filed under: Pongo abelii (Sumatran orangutan)
Lineage: Eukaryota; Metazoa; Chordata; Mammalia; Primates; Hominidae
Description: retained intron
Source: RNAcentral